This 253-nucleotide ribosomal RNA is filed under the name uncultured Eubacteriales bacterium. RNAcentral describes it as "uncultured Clostridiales bacterium partial 16S ribosomal RNA". It matches the Rfam family "Bacterial small subunit ribosomal RNA", at positions 524 to 776 of the family's 1533-position model. The record is from RNAcentral. Lineage: Bacteria; Bacillati; Bacillota; Clostridia; Eubacteriales.
UACGGAGGAUGCGAGCGUUAUCCGGAUUUACUGGGUGUAAAGGGAGCGUAGACGGCAUGGCAAGCCAGAUGUGAAAUACCGGGGCUCAACCCCGGGACUGCAUUUGAAACUGCCAUGCUGGAGUGCCGGAGAGGUAAGCGGAAUUCCUAGUGUAGCGGUGAAAUGCGUAGAUAUUAGGAGGAACACCAGUGGCGGAGGCGGCUUACUGGACGGUAACUGACGCUGAGGCUCGAAAGCGUGGGGAGCAAACAGG